RNAcentral lists this ribosomal RNA (637 nucleotides) under Pleurotus sp. PHZAU17. RNAcentral describes it as "eukaryotic LSU rRNA". The stretch from base 245 to 398 matches the Rfam family "5.8S ribosomal RNA". The record is from RNAcentral. Lineage: Eukaryota; Fungi; Basidiomycota; Agaricomycetes; Agaricales; Pleurotaceae.
AAGGAUCAUUAAUGAAUUCACUAUGGAGUUGUUGCUGGCCUCUAGGGGCAUGUGCACGCUUCACUAGUCUUUCAACCACCUGUGAACUUUUGAUAGAUCUGUGAAGUCGUCUCUCAAGUCGUUAGACUUGGUUUGCUGGGAUGUAAACGUCUCGGUGUGACUACGCAGUCUAUUUACUUAUAACACCCCAAAUGUAUGUCUACGAAUGUCAUUUAAAGGGCCUUGUGCCUAUAAACCAUAAUACAACUUUCAACAACGGAUCUCUUGGCUCUCGCAUCGAUGAAGAACGCAGCGAAAUGCGAUAAGUAAUGUGAAUUGCAGAAUUCAGUGAAUCAUCGAAUCUUUGAACGCACCUUGCGCCCCUUGGUAUUCCGAGGGGCAUGCCUGUUUGAGUGUCAUUAAAUUCUCAAACUCACUCUGGUUUUUCCAAUUGUGAUGUUUGGAUUGUUGGGGGCUGCUGCCUUGACAGGUCGGCUCCUCUUAAAUGCAUUAGCAGGACUUCUCAUUGCCUCUGCGCAUGAUGUGAUAAUUAUCACUCAUCAAUAGCACGCAUGAAUAGAGUCUGGCUCUCUAACCGUCCGCAAGGACAAUUUGACAAUUUGACCUCAAAUCAGGUAGGACUACCCGCUGAACUUAA